GAUGAACGCUAGCGGCAGGCUUAAUACAUGCAAGUCGUGGGGCGAGCAGGGGUAGGCAAUACCCGCCUGGCGACCGGCAACGGGUGCGGAACACGUACGCAACCUUCCUUUAACUGGAGAAUAGCCCUCGAAGAGGGAUUAAUACUCCGUAACAUGUACAUGUGGCAUCACAAGUACAUUAUAGCUUCGGCGGUUAAAGAUGGGCGUGCGCCUGAUUAGAUAGUUGGCGGGGAACGGCCCACCAAGUCUGCGAUCAGUAACUGUGUGAGAGCACGACCAGUCACACGGGCACUGAGACACGGGCCCGACUCCGUACGGGAGGCAGCAGUAAGGAAUAUUGGUCAAUGGACGCAAGUCUGAACCA
This 364-nucleotide ribosomal RNA is filed under the name uncultured bacterium. RNAcentral describes it as "bacterial SSU rRNA". It matches the Rfam family "Bacterial small subunit ribosomal RNA", at positions 28 to 390 of the family's 1533-position model. The record is from RNAcentral.